UUCUCUAAGGGAGAGUGACUAGUCUCGAGUCAUUGGUGUGUGUGACAUCAAGACAAGUACGUACGUGCUCAAUAGAGAAUGAGUUCACUGAACACGAUCAACGAAGAGUUCUCAUAUUCAUGUCACAUGAGAACUCAUGGUUGGGAUAAUGCAAAGUAGUCCUUUGACCUGAGGCAUCAUAGAUGUCUAAUGGUUAGGUCCUUGAUCUUUGAUCAUGUCAAAUGGCAUUCCAUUGGAGUGUCCACGGCAUUGUUGGGGUCAAGCUAUCUAGUCAUGUAGGCAUAUGAAUGCGCAACAAGGGAUCUCUAACCUUCAAACCGUUUGAGGGAGAAUACUCUAUGAUAUGAUUAAGAAUCUUU
This 359-nucleotide long non-coding RNA is filed under the name Malus domestica (apple). RNAcentral describes it as "long non-coding RNA (MDOM_LNC010538)". The record is from RNAcentral. Lineage: Eukaryota; Viridiplantae; Streptophyta; Magnoliopsida; Rosales; Rosaceae.